Molecule: ribosomal RNA, 253 nt
Filed under: uncultured bacterium
Lineage: Bacteria
Description: partial 16S ribosomal RNA
Rfam family: Bacterial small subunit ribosomal RNA
Source: RNAcentral
UACAGGGGGGGCAAGCGUUGUUCGGAAUUACUGGGCGUAAAGGGUUCGUAGGUGGCCACUUAAGUCAGACGUGAAAUCCCUCAGCUUAACUGGGGAACUGCGUCUGAUACUGAGUGGCUUGAGUGCAGGAGAGGAAUGCGGAAUUCCAGGUGUAGCGGUGAAAUGCGUAGAUAUCCGGAGGAACACCAGAGGCGAAGGCGGCCGACUGGACCUGACCUGACGCUGAGGCGCGAAGGCGUGGGGAGCGAACGGG